AUGGAGGCGUAUAUCGGAAGUACGCCUUGUUCUUUCGUGAGCAGGGGGCAAAAAGCAAAGCACAACUGCGAAACUCCCCGGCGCCGCGAAAUCUCCGGUGGCCUCCCCCACCUCCAGUCUUCCUGGCGGCGAAACCCCGGCAUGGCGAUGCUUCUCCGCCGACGCCUCCCAGCGACCCGCCUCCUCCGGCAGCUGCAAGCCGGGGCGGCGGCCUCCACCACCACCUCCUCCCCUCCCCCGCCGCCUCCUCUCCAAAAGCCUAUCGCCGCCUCCGCAUCCGCCUCGCCUUCUACGGCACUAGGGUCACGCCUAGGAUUCCCCAAUGCGAAAUCCCGCGCUUCGUCCUCGAGGAGUGCCGCCUUCCUCGCUGCCGGCGCGGCCGCCGCGCUCGCGUCGCUGCCGGUGGUGGCCUACGCUGAUGCCAAUGAGGAGGGCGUGGCUGACGGCGCGGUGAGCACGGAUGCGGCGCCGGUGGAGGACUUGGCCCGCAAGGAGAGGAAGAGGAUAAUGGAGCUGAUUGAGAGCCGAGGAAUGCAGCCAGGGUCGUACCCGAAGUUUGAAGUUGCAAUCAAGGGCCAGAAGGUGGUUGUUAAAUUCAAUGUACCGUCAACCUGUAAUAUAUCGCGCCUCAUUGUUGAUCUCGUAACGCAUAUCGGACAUGAGGCAGAACAGUGUGUUGGUGGCUCAGAGAUACUAUUGCGUGCUUGGGACAGUGCAGCUGCGCGUCAAAUAACAUUGAAUCCCCCAAAAACGACAGCAAGCACUGGAGAGAACAAUGAAGAUUCUCUUUGUAUUUUGAUAUUUGAGCCACUUGUCGGAUCUGAAUAUGCUAUUAGUCCUUAUGAGAUUGAAUUCAUCAAGCCUGACAGUUUUAGUUCGAAAGAACUUGAAGGUUUGGUCAGUGCUUUAAAAAUAGCUGGGCAGAAAGAUGUUAAGACAUCAUCAGGGAAAGCGUCAACCAAAGGAAGUGGUCAGAGAUCUAAGCAUCUACCCUCUAUAGAAAAAACUGUAUCUGAUUUAGAGGAUAUGGGUGUUAGGGUCUAUGGGUUUGAUGAAACCUCUAGUGUUCCAAUGGAUGGCACUGUCAUGUGGGAAAACAUUGCUGGGUAUGAACAUCAGAAAAGGGAGAUAGAGGAUACUGUACUCUUGGCUUUACAGAAUCCUCAAAUAUAUGAUGACAUUGCUCGUGGUACACGUUGCAAAUUUGAAACAAAUCGACCUCGGGCGGUUCUGUUUGAAGGUCCACCUGGGACUGGUAAGACAUCUUCUGCUCGCGUUAUUGCCAAGCAAGCGGGAGUUCCACUAUUAUAUGUGCCACUGGAGAUCAUCAUGUCAAAAUAUUAUGGUGAAAGUGAGCGCCUGUUGGGAUCUGUUUUUUCACUUGCCAACAAUCUUCCUGACGGAGGUAUUAUUUUCCUAGAUGAGGUAGACUCUUUUGCUAUAUCUCGAGAUAGUGAAAUGCAUGAAGCUACUCGGAGGAUAUUAUCAGUAAUUCUGCGACAGAUCGAUGGGUUCGAGCAGGAUAGACGUGUGGUGGUUAUUGCUGCAACAAAUAGAAAGGAAGACCUUGAUCCUGCUCUCAUCAGCCGUUUUGAUUCAAUGAUUUGUUUCGGCCUACCGGACCAGCAGAGCCGUGCAGAAAUAGCAGCCCAAUAUGCAAAGCACCUAACAAAACCCGAGUUGGUUCAGUUUUCCCUUGCCACUGAGGAGAUGGCAGGAAGAGAUAUCAGGGAUAUUUGCAUGCAAGCAGAAAGACAUUGGGCAUCGAAGUUUAUCAGGGGACAAAUUCCAAAAGACGAGAAGGGGGAGCCCCCUCUUCCUCCAAUCGACGAGUAUGUCGCAUGUGCCGAACAACGAAGAAAGUCUUUACCAGAUAGAACAAGACCAGCAGCAUCCAGAUCCGGCCCACCUCUGAAAUUAGCUUGA
RNAcentral lists this ribosomal RNA (1926 nucleotides) under Triticum aestivum (bread wheat). Its description in RNAcentral is "partial small subunit ribosomal RNA". Lineage: Eukaryota; Viridiplantae; Streptophyta; Magnoliopsida; Poales; Poaceae. The record is from RNAcentral.